RNAcentral lists this transfer RNA (79 nucleotides) under Podarcis lilfordi (Lilford's wall lizard). RNAcentral describes it as "tRNA.Ile". Lineage: Eukaryota; Metazoa; Chordata; Lepidosauria; Squamata; Lacertidae. The record is from RNAcentral.
GCUUCUUCUGGAUAGCUCAGUUGGUUAGAGUGUGGUGCUGAUAAUGCCAGGGUUGCAGGAUCGAUUCCCAUAUGGCGUA